AUACGUAGGUGGCAAGCGUUGUCCGGAAUCAUUGGGCGUAAAGGGCGCGCAGGCGGUUCGGUAAGUCGGUCUUCAAAGUGCGGGGCUUAACCCCGUGAUGGGAUUGAAACUGCCGGACUGGAGUGUCGGAGAGGAAAGCAGAAUUCCUAGUGUAGCGGUGAAAUGCGUAGAUAUUAGGAGGAAUACCAGUGGCGAAAGCGGCUUUCUGGACGACAACUGACGCUGAGGCGCGAAAGCCAGGGGAGCAAACGGGAUUAGAUACCCCGGUAGUCCUGGCCGUAAACGAUGGAUACUAGGUGUAGGAGGUAUCGACCCCUUCUGUGCCGGAGUUAACGCAAUAAGUAUCCCGCCUGGGGAGUACGGCCGCAAGGUUGAA
Molecule: ribosomal RNA, 376 nt
Filed under: uncultured bacterium
Lineage: Bacteria
Description: bacterial SSU rRNA
Rfam family: Bacterial small subunit ribosomal RNA
Source: RNAcentral